Molecule: ribosomal RNA, 711 nt
Filed under: Shigella sonnei
Lineage: Bacteria; Pseudomonadati; Pseudomonadota; Gammaproteobacteria; Enterobacterales; Enterobacteriaceae
Description: partial 23S ribosomal RNA
Rfam family: Bacterial large subunit ribosomal RNA
Source: RNAcentral
UGUUUGAUGUUCUAACGUGGACCCGUGAUCCGGGUUGCGGACAGUGUCUGGUGGGUAGUUUGACUGGGGCGGUCUCCUCCUAAAGAGUAACGGAGGAGCACGAAGGUUGGCUAAUCCUGGUCGGACAUCAGGAGGUUAGUGCAAUGGCAUAAGCCAGCUUGACUGCGAGCGUGACGGCGCGAGCAGGUGCGAAAGCAGGUCAUAGUGAUCCGGUGGUUCUGAAUGGAAGGGCCAUCGCUCAACGGAUAAAAGGUACUCCGGGGAUAACAGGCUGAUACCGCCCAAGAGUUCAUAUCGACGGCGGUGUUUGGCACCUCGAUGUCGGCUCAUCACAUCCUGGGGCUGAAGUAGGUCCCAAGGGUAUGGCUGUUCGCCAUUUAAAGUGGUACGCGAGCUGGGUUUAGAACGUCGUGAGACAGUUCGGUCCCUAUCUGCCGUGGGCGAUGGAGAACUGAGGGGGGCUGCUCCUAGUACGAGAGGACCGGAGUGGACGCAUCACUGGUGUUCGGGUUGUCAUGCCAAUGGCACUGCCCGGUAGCUAAAUGCGGAAGAGAUAAGUGCUGAAAGCAUCUAAGCACGAAACUUGCCCCGAGAUGAGUUCUCCCUGACCCUUUAAGGGUCCUGAAGGAACGUUGAAGACGACGACGUUGAUAGGCCGGGUGUGUAAGCGCAGCGAUGCGUUGAGCUAACCGGUACUAAUGAACCGUGAGG